Molecule: small nuclear RNA, 106 nt
Organism: Rhinopithecus bieti (black snub-nosed monkey)
Lineage: Eukaryota; Metazoa; Chordata; Mammalia; Primates; Cercopithecidae
Source: Ensembl
GUGCUCACUAUGGCAGCACAUAUAUUAAAAUUGGAACAAUACAAAGAAGACUAACAUGGCCCUGCACAAGGAUGACAUGCAAAUUCGUGAAGCAUUCCAUAUUUUU